ACACCUCAACUCUCAUGGUUUGCCGUGAUGAGCUUGGACUUUGGGGGUUUUGCUGGCCUGUGGUCGGCUCCUCUCAAAUGAAUCAGCUUGCCAGUGUUUGGUGGCAUCACGGGUGUGAUAACUAUCUACGCUUGUGGUCGUCCACCGAGCAACCUUUGGCAACAGAGGUUCACUGGAGCUUAUAAACGUCUCUCCUCAGCGAAGACAGCUUUUUUGAAC
Molecule: unclassified non-coding RNA, 219 nt
Filed under: uncultured Tomentella
Lineage: Eukaryota; Fungi; Basidiomycota; Agaricomycetes; Thelephorales; Thelephoraceae
Description: sequence contains ITS2
Source: RNAcentral